UGGCUGAGGCGCACCCAGGAGGAUUGGUUGCUGUGGCGGCCCAGCCGUGGAGGCCAGAGGUGGUGGGCCCGGCCCAGCCAUGGAGCCAGGCUAAGUCUUUGCGAUUCCUGGUUCAAAUAAAAUCCUGGAUUACUCCAGCAUCCCAUGGCAGCACACAGAUAUCAGAAUAAUACAGGUGACCAAGGGGACAAUGUGCCAUGCAAAAACAACAACAACUCUGCAAGUACCCUAGAGGGCGAAUGAGGUUAGCCUUUUGAACAGCAUCUGUUUAAGUGCCAUUCAGCUGUGGAAGCAGAAACAGCUCUGGAUUUCCCUCAUACAUACACAGGAAGAAUUUCACUAGAGGAGAAACCUCUUCUCCAUACAUUAAUGUAUGAGGAGCAAUUGAGCCCUUCUCCCUGGGCACUGGAUGAAAAGACCCCACAAAACAGAAAGUCAGACUCUACUCAUAUCCCUAGAGAGCGUCUUAAUGUAUCAAAAAAGCAAGCUGAACACCAUGGCACUCUUACCCCUGGACUUCACGGCCAGAGCCUCCACACCCCCUGGGAACCCCCAAAUCUUCUUUAGGUGGUGUGGCUGCUGCUGGCCUGUACUGUGCCCAGGGUGAUUAUGACCUGUGCUGGGUGCUUUAGAGACAAAGGGGGGAGGGGGGAAAGAAAUAUGUGGGAUGGGUAUAUGUUGAGUUGCUCGUUGAAAUAUCUGCUACGGCAUAUUUGCAUAAAUAUACUCCAUGUGUUAAAAAUACUGUGUUUGUCACUGUGUGUGUGGGGGGGGGGUG
Hemicordylus capensis (graceful crag lizard) is the source of this 778-nucleotide long non-coding RNA. RefSeq lists it as uncharacterized. The record is from RefSeq and is a predicted model, not a curated record. The transcript is spliced from 4 exons. NCBI's taxonomy places the organism in Eukaryota, Metazoa, Chordata, Lepidosauria, Squamata, Cordylidae.